This is a long non-coding RNA of Anopheles gambiae (African malaria mosquito), 679 nucleotides long. RefSeq lists it as uncharacterized. The record is from RefSeq and is a predicted model, not a curated record. NCBI's taxonomy places the organism in Eukaryota, Metazoa, Arthropoda, Insecta, Diptera, Culicidae. The transcript is spliced from 2 exons.
GUGCUUAUUAUGAUCCGGCCUAGAACGCACGACAUUCUACUCUCUUUGUAUUGAUGAGUCGGUUUGCUGUAAACAAUUCAUCCAGGUUCAAUUUAAACCUGUUUCUCUCAGCGUUCUUUUCGAUCAAGUCUGGAACGCACGAUCAUCUGCUCUCUUUCAUACGCUGGGCCGAUUUGGUACGUACAAAGGAAGCAGGUAAAAUCUGAACCUGUUUCUCGCAUCUGUUCUCUUUCAUACGAUGGGUCGAUUUGUAUGGACACACACACAUUCUGUCUAUGUGAGUGAUAACAGCGCAAGCCACUUGGUAACACCUGAGCCUUGAAGCACGAGAAGGAUAGAGAUUUGUGAUUGGUACGAAGCUAAUCGAAAAAAUACAAAUUCACUGUUACAAUGAAUAUUGUACCAUUGUUAAACGAGUCACGUACAAAAAAACUGGCUCGAAAUAAGAAACAAUGAGACAUAAAAAUUGUGAAAUGAAUUUAUGACAUAAGGAAUAUUUAUGAUAAAAAAUUCGUCAUUCAUCACACUAAUAAUGCGAUAGGAUUUUUUGUUAAUUCCAUUAUUUAAACACCAUAUGUUAAACCGAGCGUUCAAUAAACACUCCGACCGUAAGAAAACAAAUAAAAACGUUCUGGUCUUACUGAGAUUAGAACCCAGAACGACCGUAAUAUUUGCACAA